UGGGGAUUGGCUCAGUGGUAGAGCGCUUGCCUAGCAAGCGCAAGGCCCUGGGUUCGGUCCCCAGCUCCAA
RNAcentral lists this transfer RNA (70 nucleotides) under Rattus norvegicus (Norway rat). It matches the Rfam family "tRNA". From Rfam's summary of the family: Transfer RNA (tRNA) molecules are approximately 80 nucleotides in length. Their secondary structure includes four short double-helical elements and three loops (D, anti-codon, and T loops). Lineage: Eukaryota; Metazoa; Chordata; Mammalia; Rodentia; Muridae. The record is from Rfam by way of RNAcentral.